Molecule: long non-coding RNA, 292 nt
Filed under: Rattus norvegicus (Norway rat)
Lineage: Eukaryota; Metazoa; Chordata; Mammalia; Rodentia; Muridae
Description: long non-coding RNA NONRATT012484
Source: RNAcentral
GUAUUUGCAUCGUUUUACUUGGUCCCACCUCAGUGAACACCUUGCCUUUGAGCGCCAGGUACGAAGGCAACGCCUGAGAGCAGAGGUUGCCCAAGCGAAACGAGAGACUGACUUCUAUCUUCGAAACGUAGAACAGGGACAACGCUUUCUUGCAGCUGAUGGGGAUGCUACUCGACCAAAUAGCUCCUGGACAUUUACUCAACGUCCCACUGAGCAGGAGCUGAGGGCCCAGAAAGGAGCACGGCCAGGAGGGCGGGAACGAGCUCGGCUGGCCACAGUCCAGGACCAGGCC